GAGUUUGAUCGUGGCUCAGAUUGAACGCUGGCGGCAUGCCUUACACAUGCAAGUCGAACGGCAGCACGGGAGCUUGCUCCUGGUGGCGAGUGGCGAACGGGUGAGUAAUGCAUCGGAACGUAUCCUGGAGUGGGGGAUAACGUAGCGAAAGUUACGCUAAUACCGCAUAUUCUGUGAGCAGGAAAGCGGGGGACCUUCGGGCCUCGCGCUCUUGGAGCGGCCGAUGUCGGAUUAGCUAGUUGGUGAGGUAAAGGCUCACCAAGGCGACGAUCCGUAGCAGGUCUGAGAGGAUGAUCUGCCACACUGGAACUGAGACACGGUCCAGACUCCUACGGGAGGCGAGCAGUGGGAAUUUUGGACAAUGGGGGCAACCCUGAUCCAGCCAUGCCGCGUGAGUGAAG
RNAcentral lists this ribosomal RNA (401 nucleotides) under bacterium enrichment culture clone ALO1_GLFRUDD03G01IU. RNAcentral describes it as "bacterial SSU rRNA". It matches the Rfam family "Bacterial small subunit ribosomal RNA", at positions 9 to 410 of the family's 1533-position model. The record is from RNAcentral.